This 4883-nucleotide long non-coding RNA is filed under the name Triticum aestivum (bread wheat). RNAcentral's name for it is "long non-coding RNA (TAES_LNC010767)". Lineage: Eukaryota; Viridiplantae; Streptophyta; Magnoliopsida; Poales; Poaceae. The record is from RNAcentral.
UUUUUUUUAUUUUGUGACUAAAAACUACCACUUUUGAAAAAUGGCCGGUUUAAACGAUUUAAACACGUUUAUGACAUGUGGGACCCAUCCGUCAGGGCUGACGUGGCGACAAAGUCAACUCUGUUUAUUUUGACCGUUACGUUGACCGUUAUUACAAGUGGGGCCCACCUGUCAGCAUCACUUUUCUUCCUCCUCCUGUUGUCUCUGGCAUUUCCUCGAACACCUCGUGUGCAUUCGGGUUUGAGCUCUGAACUCCUCCAUGGCGACGCCCCGGCGCAGCACGUCACUGGUGUUGGUUGGGGACUAGAACGGCGGCGCAACCAAGGUGGCUGGAGCUGUGGAAGCGGCCGCCGAAGCUGACGGAAUUUCCUCCGAGGCCAUCGGCGCCAGCACCCGACGCAGCUCCUCAACGAUGGUCGCCUUGAGGAUCUUGUGCUCGAGCAACUCGGUGCGCAGGCGUGACUCGCACUCUUGUGGCUCCUCGACGAGGCGCGCGAGCUUGGCGGCAUCCGGCGUCGUCUCCUCGCGUGCCGACUGCACCUGCAUGGAGAACGGGAGACGAGCGAUGAAGAGCCCCAGGAGCUCAUGUGGGAACUCGGACCAAGGCCGAUGCUUGAGCGUGCGCGUGCGUUGCCGUUUAAUUCUUUGAACGAGAAUUUAGUGGCCAAUGCUUGAGCGUGCGUGUGCGUUGUAGGUUCGUGCGAGUACUAGCUAGGUUGGUUCGUGCGUGCUGGUGGCGGUGGUCGCCGGCAGAGGUGACCUCGCCGGAGUGACGCGAGGGGGAAAGGCGGUCGCCGGAGUGGUUGGGCACUCGGGCUCUCCCGAUCCAAACGGGAUCGAGGCAUAGGGAGAGGUGAGCGCCGGCAGUUGAGGACAGCGGAGGUGCCUUGCGAGUGCACAUGAGGUGUUCGAGGAAAUGUCAAAGAAAGAGAGAGGAGGAGGAGGAGGAAUAAGAAGAGUGAUGCUGGCAGGUGGGCCCCACUUGUAAUAACGGUCAACGUAACGGUCAAAAUAAAGGAAAUUGACUUUGGAGCCACAUCAGCCCUGACGGUUGGGUCCCGCAUGUCAUAAACGUGUUUAAAUCGUCUAAACCAGCCAUUUUUCAAAAGUGGUAGUCUUUAGGGCCUGUUUGGUUCCAAAUAAGUCACCAACUUAUAAGUCGAAAAGUGAAAAAAGUGACUUAUUUUACCAAACAGACCCGACUUAUAAGUCACCCCAACUUAUAAGUCAUAAGUUGCUCCACCCUAAUUUAAAACUUAUAAGUCACCCCCUUUUGCGUGGGUCCCACCACCUGCAUGAUGUUGAUUGGUGUGGAAAGGUGUGUCAGGUGACUUAUAAGUCAGGUGACAACCAAAGAGGCGUGACUUAUAAGUCACUAGUUUUAAGUCACCUGACUUAUAAGUCGGGUGACUUAUUGAAACCAAACAGGCCCUAAGUCAUCAACUUAUAAGUCGAAAAGUGAAAAAAGUGACUUAUUUUGCCAAACGGACCCAACUUAUAAGUCACCCCAACUUAUAAGUCAUAAGUUGCUCCACACCAAUUUAAAACUUAUAAGUCACCCCCUUUUGCGUGGGUCCCACCACCUUUACAUAAAAAAACAAGGUGAAAAGGUGUGGUCAGGUGACUUAUAAGUCAGGUGACAAUCAAAUAGGCGUGACUUAUAAGUCACUGGUUUUAAGUCAGCUGACUUAUAAGUCAGGUGACUUGUUGAAACCAAACAGGCUCUUAGUCACAAAAUUAAAAAUCUUUGGUAGUUAUCAGUCACUUUUUUGAAUGUGAUAGUUUAAUGGGACAGCAACCUCUAAUGUAGUAGUUUUUUGUCAAAUACUCGAUAUGGAUCAUCAUAUGAUUUCACAUGAUGAUGGAUUCGAUCGAUCACUGGACCUAACCCUUCUAGGUAGCUAGUGUUAGUGUUACUAUAUAUGUGCAUGCAUGUAGAUCUUUCGAUGUGCCUUUUACGGCAUCUGGCAGCAGUUGGCAAAGAUCGCGUUACAAACAUCUGUCUGAUACAAUCUCACUAGGACGCUAUUGCAUGCUGAUGUCAAAGUUAGCUACUUUACUAGGGAGAAGAUAUCGAAUCUUGCGGUAGCUGCCAUGCAUGCAUGAUGAGACAGAGCUACAGUGCCGCUCCUAGAAAGAUCGAGGCGUGCAACCGCAAAUAGUGUAAGACCGGCCCAAUCAUUCGCGAGCUUAGCUCAUUGCUCAUUCGUAGUACCCACCCUACAGCUUCAAUCUUGAUGCUGCUCUGUGCGCCUCCGGUACGCUCCCUGUGCCUCUGGGUGCGCAUGCGUGAUCCCCUUAAAACCCGUGCCACGUACGUAUGCUAUAUGCAGAUGGAGAUCAGAUCCAUUGACCCUUCACGUUGUUGUGCAUGCAUGCAUGCAAACAAAUCUGAUGGGCCAGAUCGCCAGAGACACAGACGGCAGCCGAAGGCCGGCCCAUGUCGGCCCUUGGCGCCGUCGGGAGCAACCGAAACACGCGCGCACCCAGCAGAUCCAUCGAUUAGCGACAAAACUAACUGAACAUUUUUUUAGCGAUAAAACUAAGUGAGCAUUAAGCACUGUACUGAUGGACCUCCGCGGUUAAGAGCGGCACAUGGGGCUCGCUGGGUACGUGGACAAAACUAACUGAGCAAGUAGGCAUCGACGAGUUAACACAUACUCCCUCUGUAAAGAAAUGUAAGAGCGUUAAGAUCACUACUUUAAUAAUCUAAAUGCUUUUAUAUUUGUUUACAGAGGGAGUACAGUACAAACAGCAGAAACUAACUAGUUAAUCAAGGGAGAUGAAUCAAUCAGCAUACUGACUCUCGUGGCACAUCGUCCCCGCACUUUGACAGAUCCAUGCACAUGCCACUCAGCAGCGUGGAUGGUACCACCUGCUUAACCUUAACUACUGGUCAGUGCGUGCCUUGGCACCAUCCAAGUACAGCGGCAUGCGCCUUCCCCUCCUCUCCUCUGGCGCCGCUAGCUGGUCCUGGCCGGCCGGCAACCACUGCAUGGAGCACGGUGGUGCUGCCGCUGCCGCUGCAUGCCUGCUCGCUGCCGCCGCAGAGGCGGAUGGACGUACGUACCUGCUCGUAUGUGGGCAAUGCCGCCCCAAUUGGCCGCAUGGCGCAGUGCCCCUAUUUAGAUCUGUCUAGAAUAGCUCCACCGUACUUUCUGCAUCGUUCCUCCGUCAUGGACCCUGUCAGCCGGCCGUUUGCGCGGCCAGCAUGCAUGCAGUGGCAGGCACCACCAUCGUCCGGAAUGGCUUUCUCAUUGGCUUGCACCGCCGUCGUCGUGACAUGUAGCUUGCCACUGGCUAUAGUAGCAGUCAGAUAGAUGGCUGUGGAUCGGGCGCAGUUUGCCUGUCCCCCUGGAACUCCCCAUCUCCGGUCUGUGCCAAACAGUUUCGGCCCAUUCGAUCGGCAGUAGCUCGUAGUACAUGCUUGCAAGCUAGUGCUGCACGGCGGCAGAGCAGCAUGCAUGCAUCUAUACCGUCAUGUCUGCGUGCGUACAAGAUGAUAUACUGUUGACGUUCCUCUUGCACAAAAAGUGUCUUAAUUUGUGUGCAAUGAUUCAUCGGAGAAAUCGAUCGCGUGGUUUCAGUUCUUGUCCGUAAGACCGCUCUAUGUUGCUAAAUCAGCGGCUUUUACAUGGGAUCCCCACUUUACGCCUUUUCUAUUUUCUUUUUAGGAUCUGUCCCCACUUUACAUCGAUCAGAUAUAUAUCCCCGUCUCCACGUGUGUUAUUUUACACUCGUUGUCAUAGGCAGAGAUACAUGCAUAUCUGAAAGCCAGCUCCAAAAAGUAGGGUUGAUUAGGAGUACUACGGCACUAGAUCCUUAGUUUAACAUUGAUAUAUCUUCAAAAUUGUCGACAAAAAAGAUCAGCAAUAUUCAUACAGUAUGUAUAUAACAUGUAAAGAAAAGACUUACAUAACUGUGGAAACUAAAUAGACAAAUUAUACCAUGGAUAGUACCGAAUCAAGCCGACGAUGAAUGAAAGGGAGGUUUUUUUUUGCGGGAAAAGAACUGUUGAUAUUUAGCACAGGGUUCUUACAGAAAGGUCAUGAGACAAAAAAAAUUACAUUGAAGCCCCCAGCACCCCGUUGACGAAGACGACGACGAAAACGUAUCGCCGGCGCGCCGCCGCUGCUGCUCCACACAAGCCUUGGAUUUGGAACAGACCCUCCGCGGACGGGAAGUCGACGAAGCUCAGCCCCGGAAGACCUCCAUCCCGCAUCGUCAAAGCCAACGCCCUGCACCGCACCACCAGCUCGAUUCAGAACUUCGAGAUCCCGGAUCCGCCGUCCCGCGGACUCCGGUGAGGGAAAAGUGCACCCAGCAGCUCCACCGAGCCCCGAGCACGAGGAAGACGGAAGAUCGACAGCGGAGCUCCUCGGACCUCCACCGCCGGAGAGGAAGACCUCCGUCGCAAAACGCCACUCCGGCCGCGCCGCCCACUCCCCAACGCCGCCGGCUAGCUCCCAAACCGAACCUACGCUAUAUACACGCCGCAGAUCGGGACCUCCCCAUCCUCCCGCUGCCGGAGCAGCCACCGAAGGGUGAGGAACCCGCCGAUCUGGCGGCGGCGAGGUGGAUCGCCCGGGGUCGCCCAAAAGUCGCCCUUUCUCUACUGUGGACGGGGAAAGGAUAAGGCUCCAAGGCGCACAAUGAAAGGGAGUUUGUUCCAAAAAAAAAUAGUAAGACCCAAAAUAGGGUAGCAGAUUGUAUGAAAAAUUAUAGCCGUAUCGAGUGGGAAAUACCCUUUGGUUCCUGGGUAUAUAUACACCUCAUAUAUGGGAAUUAUUUUAAUAAUUGAAUAAAAAGUCAGAUAAGUUUGGAAAUUUAUUUACAAUAAACUUGACUUUCUUUUGCACUACUAUAUAAAUUUUCACGAAUAC